RNAcentral lists this long non-coding RNA (811 nucleotides) under Mytilus galloprovincialis (Mediterranean mussel). The record is from RNAcentral. Lineage: Eukaryota; Metazoa; Mollusca; Bivalvia; Mytilida; Mytilidae.
CCUGAUGCAAACAAUUUUGCACCAAGGUAUCAGUCCAGUGCUAGAGCAGUCAAACAGGUUUUUGAAUACACAUGGAAAUUUUAACCCAAAUACUCGUUUUUCGAUAAAUAAUUAAAGAUUUCCCUGUCAGCAGGCAAAUGUUCCACGGAUGCAAUUUAAUCAUUUCAAAUUUUAUAAUUUUGUUUACAGCUUGCAAUCACCGUAUGAUAUUGGUAUUUUUGGUUGUUCCCCUGUUAAUACUACGGUUUAAGGGAAUAUGUUGACUGACUACCCCGUUAAAAUAUUGGCAAAUUUAUUAUAUAAUGGUUUUAAAUAUGGUUUUCGAGCACAUCAUACAAGCAAAAUAUUAAAGUCUGUUUUACAAGAUCCAAAUUUAGCUUGGAAAAAUCAUGAGUGAAUUGAAAUGGUAGAAUUGCGGGGCCUUUUUAUUAUUGACCUAUUUCUAAUCUACGUGUUUGGAAAAUAAUUUUAGAAAUUAUAAUGGCAUUUCUUAUAUUUUGGGUGACAAGUGGUUGUCGAGUUCUGUUUUAAAUCUCUUUAUCGGUAGUACAAGAGUUAUUCAAAUACUUGGCUUACGAAUCAAAUGGACUAAAUUAAUUUCAAAACCUUAAACAUAAACUAAACCUGUAUGACGUAUGGCCAUGCCCCGUUUCACAUUUAGUUAAUAGUAGCUGACAUGUUUAAGGAUGAUAUUCUUAUUCCACUCGGAAUGCGUACCUUUCAGGCAUUAGGUUUACUCAUAAGAUCAAUGGUUUAUUGGACAACACUCAUUCUUUUAUUGUUCAAAAGAUGCUCAGUGACAUAAGCGACA